This 375-nucleotide ribosomal RNA is filed under the name Triticum aestivum (bread wheat). RNAcentral's name for it is "partial small subunit ribosomal RNA". The record is from RNAcentral. Lineage: Eukaryota; Viridiplantae; Streptophyta; Magnoliopsida; Poales; Poaceae.
AUGCUUCCCUCCCUCGUGCAACUGGAGCACGGGAUCAGCGACACCGAUGACCUGAGGCAGAGGGCGGUGUGCUCCGAGAGGUGCAGGACGAGAGACGGCGAGGAGGAGGAUAGCAAGAGGCUGGUCUCUGAGGUCGACGCUGAGAUAGAAGAGGAGUGUGGGCUGUGCUGCAUCCACGACAUGUGCAUCGAGUGCUACCGCCAAUGCAUGCUAUAUUCCAAGUCGGUGGAGGCAUCAUCAUCUGAUCGAGUACGGAGACAAGCUAUUGCCAGUAAUUCUGAGUCAUCUGGGAUACAGCCAAGACCGACGUCGUUGUUGUUGUUGUUGUUGUUGUUGUUUAGACAUUGUCGCGCGUUAAUGGACUACCGGUCAUGA